UAGGGAAUCUUCCGCAAUGGACGAAAGUCUGACGGAGCAACGCCGCGUGAGUGAUGAAGGCUUUCGGGUCGUAAAACUCUGUUGUUAGGGAAGAACAAGUGCUAGUUGAAUAAGCUGGCACCUUGACGGUACCUAACCAGAAAGCCACGGCUAACUACGUGCCAGCAGCCGCGGUAAUACGUAGGUGGCAAGCGUUAUCCGGAAUUAUUGGGCGUAAAGCGCGCGCAGGUGGUUUCUUAAGUCUGAUGUGAAAGCCCACGGCUCAACCGUGGAGGGUCAUUGGAAACUGGGAGACUUGAGUGCAGAAGAGGAAAGUGGAAUUCCAUGUGUAGCGGUGAAAUGCGUAGAGAUAUGGAGGAACACCAGUGGCGAAGGCGACUUUCUGGUCUGUAACUGACACUGAGGCGCGAAAGCGUGGGGAGCAAACAGGAUUAGAUACCCUGGUAGUCCACGCCGUAAACGAUGAGUGCUAAGUGUUAGAGGGUUUCCGCCCUUUAGUGCUGAAGUUAACGCAUUAAGCACUCCGCCUGGGGAGUACGGCCGCAAGGCUGAAACUCAAAUGAUUGACGGGGUCAUAGCUGUUUCCUG
This 588-nucleotide ribosomal RNA is filed under the name uncultured bacterium. RNAcentral's name for it is "partial 16S ribosomal RNA". It matches the Rfam family "Bacterial small subunit ribosomal RNA", at positions 355 to 1376 of the family's 1533-position model. The record is from RNAcentral.